RNAcentral lists this ribosomal RNA (465 nucleotides) under uncultured Klebsiella sp. RNAcentral describes it as "bacterial SSU rRNA". It matches the Rfam family "Bacterial small subunit ribosomal RNA", at positions 338 to 795 of the family's 1533-position model. The record is from RNAcentral. Lineage: Bacteria; Pseudomonadati; Pseudomonadota; Gammaproteobacteria; Enterobacterales; Enterobacteriaceae.
CCUACGGGAGGCAGCAGUGGGGAAUAUUGCACAAUGGGCGCAAGCCUGAUGCAGCCAUGCCGCGUGUGCGAAGAAGGCCUUCGGGUUGUAAAGCACUUUCAGCGGGGAGGAAGGCGGUGAGGUUAAUAACCUCAUCGAUUGACGUUACCCGCAGAAGAAGCACCGGCUAACUCCGUGCCAGCAGCCGCGGUAAUACGGAGGGUGCAAGCGUUAAUCGGAAUUACUGGGCGUAAAGCGCACGCAGGCGGUCUGUCAAGUCGGAUGUGAAAUCCCCGGGCUCAACCUGGGAACUGCAUUCGAAACUGGCAGGCUAGAGUCUUGUAGAGGGGGGUAGAAUUCCAGGUGUAGCGGUGAAAUGCGUAGAGAUCUGGAGGAAUACCGGUGGCGAAGGCGGCCCCCUGGACAAAGACUGACGCUCAGGUGCGAAAGCGUGGGGAGCAAACAGGAUUAGAUACCCCUGUAGUC